ACUGAAAGGAGUUUCAAUGAUGCUAUGAUAAAGAUCAUUGUAUAUCUCACUACCAUAUAGAAUUGAACCUAUGAGGUCGCACAAUAAAGGGAUUAGAUUUGGAAUAAGCAAUUGAGCUUAUGAAGUCUCAAUUGUGUUUAGAAAAAUUCUGUUAGGUUCAGGGUAACUUUGCUAGUACAUGGUUGGACUCAAUUUUUUCUUUAUAUUUAAAUUUUUUAUUUGAUAAGAUUAAUUUAAGUUUAAUUAUCUAUUAAUAAUCUAAAUAAAUUAGAUUAUUAGGCUCCAAUUGUUGGAUGCCUAAGAUUUUGAAUCAAAUGUAUUAAGGGUUCAAACCCUUAAUCA
Molecule: long non-coding RNA, 342 nt
Filed under: Elaeis guineensis (African oil palm)
Lineage: Eukaryota; Viridiplantae; Streptophyta; Magnoliopsida; Arecales; Arecaceae
Description: long non-coding RNA (EGUI_LNC071041)
Source: RNAcentral